This 84-nucleotide ribosomal RNA is filed under the name uncultured Mesodinium sp. RNAcentral describes it as "partial 18S ribosomal RNA". It matches the Rfam family "Eukaryotic small subunit ribosomal RNA", at positions 1697 to 1810 of the family's 1831-position model. The record is from RNAcentral. Lineage: Eukaryota; Ciliophora; Litostomatea; Cyclotrichida; Mesodiniidae.
UUAGGUGAAUUUGAUGGACGUAAGGAAGUCAAAUAAACCUGAGCACUUAGAGGAAGGCGAAGUCGUAACAAGGUUUCCGUAGGU